GCUCAACAUCAUAUCGCACAAGGUCAGGAAGAGAGGUCAAGCCCAGAGCUCUCCUUGACCUAUGAAAUGUCAAAGGGUGUAGGCGGAUCGCUGCCCUAAAAGAGUUCCAGACUGUAAACUUGUUAUUGAAAGUUGACUUGACAUGCUUUGGUAUUGUAUUUGUUUGAAAUGUUAAGAUGUAAUUUCUACAGUGAAGCUGAGUUGCUGAGAAUCCCUUGUUUGAAAAGUAACAGUAUGUUGGAUCAUUGUUUCAGAGUCUAUGUUGAUUCAGUUGGUGUAGUAUGCAAUAUAAAUGGUUACUUACCUUGAGUUCAAACUACAGAGCAUGUAUCCAAAAGAAAAGCUUAGAAUAUGUAAAACAUUUGUAUUUUGUUUAAAAGAAGGGGGAUGUAAUAUUCAUAUGUGAAUACAUAGUGAAUUAUAAUUGGAUGCAUUUUACCGCCGUACCAUACUGUGCGGUGAUUGGUUAAGACCACCCAGACGGUUAGGUCAGGGGCAGUUGAUCGUGGUUGGAGAUAGCUACAACUACCUGUUAGCCUAGUUAAUAAAGAGUUAUGUUAAGAAACAUCCUGUAGUUCUGCGUUUUAUUAUUUUGUACAAAGUGUACAAAACAAAACACCCCCCACCAGACACCCCCCCCACCAGACACAGUAAGUUGCUAGCUAGCAUUAGCUGGAAUUCUCUACAACAAAAUGCACAACAAAUAUUCACCAAUAAAACACUGCAUCUUAUGUGUGAUGUUCGAAUAACAUUUACAAACAAAUUGAUAUAAAUUGUACAUUUAAAUCAUCACUUGGGAGUAUAAAAAUCACUUUUGACGCACAGUGCUUUGCAACCAACAACUUACCGCUGGUUUGGUGCUUGUUCACUGGGACGAUUCUAACUGAAACAUCCUCCCUCGUAAGCAAGCUACGCAAACCAGCCAAUAAGAUGCCAUGUUGAGUAGGUGAAGGCAAGACAAAAAUAAAACCAAAAACCCAUUGGCUUAACAAUAAAGUGGCAAGGGGAAUCACCAAUAUAACCCUGUUAGACAUAUGCACCGUUUCUAGUGGUUGAAGAAUUGCAUUUCAAGAAGGCAAGUAGAUUAGUGUUUUGUGCAAAUGGUGGAUAUGAUGGACACGUUUAUUCAUAACAAUAAAAAGGUUAAUAACAAGAUGCAAUCAUUUGCCCUUAGUGAGAAUAGAGAACAUCCAUUUCAUUUAUCUUUGCAUUUUAAAAUAAUUAGAAAUAGCGAUCUAUUUCCGAGGCUUUUAUUUAUUUCGUUUCCAUGAUCGUUUCAUAAUAAAUCCCUCAUCUUUUCUGUGAUGGUUUCAUACUCACGACGUAGAAUAUAGGCCUACAAGUUUACCAUUCGUCCCAUCUCUCGUUUAGUUGGACCCACUACACAGCAGUAAAUAGAAAAGUUAUUUCAAGUAUUUUGCUCUAACACCAGAUGCCUAAUUUGUAAACGUUGUCUACACAUGCAUGUGCAAGUUUUCACGCAAAUGUUGUAAUUUAUAAAAACUGAAUUUGACAUGAGAAUUUGCUAAUCCAACCUUUAGACCAUGUGCAUGCACAGUUUCUAGUGGUUGAGGUCUUGCAUUGCAACAGUAGACUAGUUUUAGUCUUGUACAGAUGGGGAAUAUAUGACGAGACUCUUAUUCAGAACUAAAGAACAGACAGGCCGAGCUAAAUAUAAUAAGAUGCAAAUCAUUUGCUGUUAGUGAGAAUGGCGAAAAUUGAUGUAUCUUUACAUUCUAAAAUAGUGAAUAAUCUUUGCUGUUAUUUAUUUAAUGUCCUAGAUCAUUGCAAAAAUAAAUUCCUCACCUUUUCUGAAUGUGUGAUGGUUUCAAAGGCUACUCGCAAAAUAACAUACAGACCUACAAGUUAGGAUUGGCUACUAUUCGUCCCAUCUCUCAUUUAAUUGGACCCACUUCACAGUAGUACAUAGAUAAACUACAGUAUUUCAAGCAGACUAUUUUGCUUUAUGCGCUCGGAUCCAAAGCGCAGUUUAACGUUAGAACAGACCGUUCUCCUUUUCCGUUGACGUGUGUAGGCUAAGCCUGAAUACUGUCAUGUGACAUUUCUUGAGUGGACAAUAUUUCAUUUAUAAACAUAAUUCAUUAUCAUAAUCCUUGUACAGUACAUUCCUCAUAUUUUCUGGCCAUGAUGAGGUCAUAUUCCAUAUGUAGCCAUACAACAAAUGACCAUGCGCAGUUCUCAUUUAAUUGGGCCAAUUAGAGGCUAUUAUUUAAAAUGUUUUCUGUAUGCAGAUGACACAGCCCAACCUCACAUUCAAUUCACGCAUAAAUGUACGUAAUUAAUUUCAACAGAUUUCGUGCGUUUUUGUGCAUUUUUGUGUGGUAUGAAAAGGAAAACUGUAAUGACUGUUUUCCUACUUGCACUUGUUGCAAAAUCCUCCGUGUCUCUUCCUAUCACUAUAACAGUGAUGUUGAAUCACCCAGUUACACCGCCCUGCUUUGGAUCCAAGACCAAGAAAACACACAUCCCCUCAGGAAAAAACACUGGCAUGUCACGCUCUGCUCUGCCGUCUCUGCCAGCCACCAGCAUGACUGACACUUCAUCGGUGUCUCUCUACUGGCACUGUGCGAUAGUCUCUGCUCCCAUUGAGAACUUGGGGAGAGAGAUUCGGAAGAAAUGCUGACUUCCUCUGCAGCCCAGCCCACUGAAUUUGUACGAGGCCGCCUACAAUUGACACGCCACAUUGCAUCAACCAAUGGUUGUGUGCCAUGUCACUGACAAUAAUAAAGUACACAUUUCAUGCAGAACGCUCCAUCUUCAGUGUUUCAAAUAAUAUGUGUAGAUAUUCAGGAGGCUGUAUGUUUGUAUUAUCACAGCACUAUAAUAAAAGGGGCUCCUCAAAAUCCAUUGUGAGACUAAAAACGUCCUAAGGCUCGUCAAUAACAACGACGAGACAGCCUAUAGACAGACAAGAAGCGCAGUGUCUAACAGCGAUGUGCAGUGGAAACAACCUGGAGCUGAACACAAAGAAAAGAA
This 2997-nucleotide long non-coding RNA is filed under the name Salmo salar (Atlantic salmon). RNAcentral's name for it is "lncRNA (ENSSSAG00000106167.1)". The record is from RNAcentral. Lineage: Eukaryota; Metazoa; Chordata; Actinopteri; Salmoniformes; Salmonidae.